This 253-nucleotide ribosomal RNA is filed under the name uncultured bacterium. Its description in RNAcentral is "partial 16S ribosomal RNA". It matches the Rfam family "Bacterial small subunit ribosomal RNA", at positions 524 to 776 of the family's 1533-position model. The record is from RNAcentral.
UACGAAGGGGGCUAGCGUUGUUCGGAAUUACUGGGCGUAAAGCGCGCGUAGGCGGAUAUUUAAGUCAGGGGUGAAAUCCCAGGGCUCAACCCUGGAACUGCCUUUGAUACUGGAUAUCUGGAGUUCGGGAGAGGUGAGUGGAAUUCCGAGUGUAGGGGUGAAAUUCGUAGAUAUUCGGAGGAACACCAGAAGCGAAGGCGGCUCACUGGCCCGAUACUGACGCUGAGGCGCGAAAGCGUGGGGAGCAAACAGG